RNAcentral lists this ribosomal RNA (492 nucleotides) under Squilla empusa. RNAcentral's name for it is "partial 12S ribosomal RNA". The stretch from base 92 to 492 matches the Rfam family "Microsporidia small subunit ribosomal RNA", at positions 752 to 1251 of the family's 1311-position model. The record is from RNAcentral. Lineage: Eukaryota; Metazoa; Arthropoda; Malacostraca; Stomatopoda; Squillidae.
CGCCAUCAGAGUAUACAUAACACUGACGACAUGGUUCUACAGAAACCAGGAUUAGAUACCCUGUUAUACUUUAAUAAAAUAACUUAAACCCGGGUAGUAUAUAGCUAUUGUCUUGAAACCCAAAGAGUUUGGCGGUACCUCAGUCUAGUUAGAGGAGCUUGUCCGGUAAUCGAUAAUCCGCGAAAAAAUCUUACACACUUUUGUAAACAGCUUAUAUACCGUCGUUAUUAGAUAAUAUUAAAAAGUAAUUAAUUAUCUGAAAAUAUUUGAAUAUAGUAUAUCAGAUCAAGGUGUAGCUUAUGAGUGUGAGUUGGAUGAGCUACAAUUUAGUUUAUAAAAAUGGAUGUUGUUUUUAAAUAAAUAACUAAAGGUGGAUUUAAUAGUAAUUGUGGUUUUAGUAAGCCACAAUGAUAUUAGCUCUGAGGUAUGUACAUAUCGCCCGUCGCUAGACCAAGUCUCUGCUACCGUAUAUGUAUACUCUGAGCGGGCUGG